CGAGAAAAUGGGACUUGUGGUGCCCUCGGUCGAUAGUUCGAACCUUUGGGAAGAGAGCCUCGUCGUUAUUAUUUGAAAGGGCCCGUUAGUUUAGUUUUGGUAGUCGAUCAAGUCAGACCGUGCGAAAAUCCGGGGUCCGAUCCACCCCAGUGUGACUACAGUCUCGGAAAAAACAGUUUUGGAGAAUUUUAUAUUUUUAUUUUUUUUUCUGAUAUUUAGUCACGAUGCCAUAUUUUCUGAGACCGAUAUUGAAGAAUAAAUUCCGAUCGGAGGUGAUGAUUCGGGUGACGAGAUGGACAUUAUAAUAAAAAUAAGAGAGGGACGGAUUGCUUUGACAUGCUAUGCCAUUCAUAGACAGUCAGUCGGUGAACGAGCCGAUGGCCGAUACGCAUAUUUUUUGGCAUACUCGACCAAGCUGCGACCGCACUUGGAGCAGCGAUAUGCGAUGACGACCCUUCGACGUGAUUUACGCAUUGGCAUACAUCAUAUUUUGGAGUUGCGAGAUAUCAUUAACAAUCAAGAAGAUCACCCAAAAUUUGAAAAAAAAAGAGCGGUGCGAGUUAUGUCCCCGAAGCAACGAUAAAAAAUCCAAAACACAGUGCCCGAGCUGUAAUCGCCUUAUGUGCGAUACACAUCGCCAUUACAUAUGCGUCAAAUGCGGUUUCGGGUACGAAUAAAAAAUUUGGCAAGCUUACAG
Long non-coding RNA from Venturia canescens, 697 nucleotides. RefSeq lists it as uncharacterized. The transcript has 3 exons. The record is from RefSeq and is a predicted model, not a curated record. NCBI's taxonomy places the organism in Eukaryota, Metazoa, Arthropoda, Insecta, Hymenoptera, Ichneumonidae.